Molecule: ribosomal RNA, 428 nt
Filed under: uncultured bacterium
Lineage: Bacteria
Description: bacterial SSU rRNA
Rfam family: Bacterial small subunit ribosomal RNA
Source: RNAcentral
UGGGGAAUCUUCCGCAAUGGACGAAAGUCUGACGGAGCAACGCCGCGUGUAUGAUGAAGGUCUUCGGAUUGUAAAGUACUGUCAUUGGGGAAGAACGGUUUUCUUGAAAAGAUUGAGAAGACAUGACGGUACCCAAGGAGGAAGCCCCGGCUAACUACGUGCCAGCAGCCGCGGUAAUACGUAGGGGGCAAGCGUUGUCCGGAAUUAUUGGGCGUAAAGGGCGCGUAGGCGGGCCUUUAAGUCCGGUGUGAAAGAUCAGGGCUCAACCCUGAGAGUGCAUCGGAAACUGGAGGCCUUGAGGACAGGAGAGGAAAGUGGAAUUCCACGUGUAGCGGUCAAAUGCGUAGAUAUGUGGAGGAACACCAGUGGCGAAGGCGACUUUCUGGACUGUAACUGACGCUGAGGCGCGAAAGCGUGGGGAGCAAACA